UUCAGAAGCGUGGGGCACAGAUUUGCAUCACUUUACUUCCAAUCAUGCCAACCACUUCCAAUUAUCAUCUACAGAUGUAAAGGCCCACAUUUUUUGGGGCUUGGGCUGGCCCGACACACAUGAAAUGGGAGGGAGACUCCCGAACAGAGUCUUCCCUCCCCUGUUUCUAUUGCUCCCAUGAAUCCACCGGAAGAGGAAACAAAGAAGGAAAAAAAAAAAAAAGAGAGAGAGAGGGGAUCAAAUCCUACCUUAUUUGAAUCAAUUUACAUCUAUAAAAACAAUCUCUUCCCCUCUUCCUUAGGGCAUCAACCGAGAGUCCUUCCACAAAAAAAAAAAAAAAGGGAGAAAAGAGGGAUUUGGAGUUCUAGGCGAUCCGUGGGAGAAGCUCGGGUUGCUCGCCGUUGGACCAGCCGGAAAGGCUCGUCGGAGGCAAGGAGAAUAAUCUAUUGGACGAGAGGACGCUGAGCAGAGUCCUGCGCAUUCCGGUUCAUAGAUCGCCGUGAGGGCGGGUGAUUAGUUGUCUGAGUUUUCAAUAAAGGAGUUGCAGGAUGCAUAGUUUUGGAUGGGAUGGGCGCAGAGUGCGAGUACCAGAGUCAUUAGUUAGUUAGUUGUUUAUCCUUCUUUGAUGUCGAUGAACAUUUGAAGAGCUCGUAAUUGAACUAAAUUGUUUAUUUGACAUGUCGGAUUUGUUUAUUUGAAUUAUUAAAUUAAUUGUGGAUUUA
Non-coding RNA from Phoenix dactylifera (date palm), 722 nucleotides. The record is from RefSeq and is a predicted model, not a curated record. Lineage: Eukaryota; Viridiplantae; Streptophyta; Magnoliopsida; Arecales; Arecaceae.